This 497-nucleotide ribosomal RNA is filed under the name uncultured bacterium. RNAcentral's name for it is "partial 16S ribosomal RNA". It matches the Rfam family "Bacterial small subunit ribosomal RNA", at positions 28 to 507 of the family's 1533-position model. The record is from RNAcentral.
GAUGAACGCUGGCGGCGUGCCUAAUACAUGCAAGUCGAGCGAACAGAUGCGGAGCUUGCUCCUCUGACGUUAGCGGCGGACGGGUGAGUAACACGUGGAUAACCUACCUAUAAGACUGGGAUAACUUCGGGAAACCGGAGCUAAUACCGGAUAAUAUAUUGAACCGCAUGGUUCAAUAGUGAAAGACGGUUUUGCUGUCACUUAUCGAUGGAUCCGCGCCGCAUUAGCUAGUUGGUAAGGUAACGGCUUACCAAGGCAACGAUGCGUAGCCGACCUGAGAGGGUGAUCGGCCACACUGGAACUGGGACACGGUCCAGACUCCUACGGGAGGCAGCAGUAGGGAAUCUUCCGCAAUGGGCGAAAGCCUGACGGAGCAACGCCGCGUGAGUGAUGAAGGUCUUCGGAUCGUAAAACUCUGUUAUUAGGGAAGAACAAAUGUGUAAGUAACUAUGCACGUCUUGACGGUACCUAAUCAGAAAGCCACGGCUAACUACGUG